Molecule: long non-coding RNA, 810 nt
Filed under: Homo sapiens (human)
Lineage: Eukaryota; Metazoa; Chordata; Mammalia; Primates; Hominidae
Description: non-protein coding lnc-ANKRD50-2:4
Source: RNAcentral
AGAUGGUGCCUAUGCUGUUGGUCUACAGGCUGUAUUUUAUAUAGCAGGGUUUGGUACAAUCUUUCUCAACCAGACCUGGAAGAGAAGUAGGUUCUAAUGUCCUAAUAAUAUAUUUUCUGUAAUGAAUUAAUUUUAUUUCAGUAUGCCUAGAAUGGUGUGUGAUAUGUACCAUCCUUAAGAGAACUGUGAAAAUAGUCGUUAAAUCAUGUUUUGUUUCUUCUGUGCUUGGGUUGAAGCUCAUAUCAAUUAGGAUUAAAUUCAGGUUUAACCAACCAGAAGUCUGUGCAAUGAUUUAGAUACACAAGAAUUAUCUAUCUUAACAGAGAGAAGCAGGGGUUAGUAGUCCAGGGUUCCAGAGAAUUUUGUUUUUUUCUUCUUCCGUUGUUCUCAGAGUGUACAGGCCAGGUCUUGUGUAUGUUGUCUCAGGUUGUAACAUGGCUGCUGCUCUGCAAGCUCACAUCCACUAUCCAGGCUGAAGCCAGAAGAAGUGGGAAGAGAAAAACCAAAGGACAGUGCCCUCUGUAAACCACUUUUAAAAAACGUUUCUCAGCAGCUACUCUUUAGAGGUAUGAUGGAUCUCCCCACAAAGUCUGGUUCAGGUGUCAAGACCUACACACCAAGAAACGAUGAGAAGAAUUAUCAUUCACAUGAGACUUUCUGGGGCAAGCAGAGUGGCUACCAAACAGGUCUUAAAAUGGCUUGAGAAAUCCAGAGAUUUGAAGUUCAGGAUAGAAAACAGCAUCAAUAUUAUCAGAAUGCACAAGCCACGAACCCCAUUGCCAGACUGCUUGUUACAUGGCAGGUACACAA